This 431-nucleotide unclassified non-coding RNA is filed under the name Hevea brasiliensis (rubber tree). Lineage: Eukaryota; Viridiplantae; Streptophyta; Magnoliopsida; Malpighiales; Euphorbiaceae. The record is from RNAcentral.
AGGAAUUACAUUUUUAGACACAGCUGAUGUUUAUGGACCUUACACCAAUGAAGUCUUGGUUGGCAAGGCCUUGAAGCAAUUGCCUAGAGAAAAAAUACAGUUGGCUACAAAAUUCGGUGUUGCUGUCAACAACUUCGAUUUUAAAAAUGCUUUAAUUAAUGGCAAACCUGAAUACGUCCGUGCAUGCUGUGAGGCUAGCCUCAAUCGUCUUGGCGUUGAAUAUAUUGAUCUGUACUAUCAACAUCGCAUUGACACUUCUGUACCAAUAGAGGAAACUAUGAGGGAGCUUAAGAAAUUAGUGGAAGAAGGAAAAAUUAAGUACAUUGGGUUAUCUGAAGCAAGUCCUGACACAAUAAAGAGGGCACAUUCAGUUUAUCCCAUCACAGCAGUGCAAAUGGAAUGGUCACUUUGGAGCCGUGACCUUGAGGAAG